This 69-nucleotide microRNA precursor is filed under the name Macaca nemestrina (pig-tailed macaque). RNAcentral's name for it is "miRNA (ENSMNEG00000014205.1)". The record is from RNAcentral. Lineage: Eukaryota; Metazoa; Chordata; Mammalia; Primates; Cercopithecidae.
GUAGAAAUGGGGUUUCACCAUGUUGGUCAGGCUGGUCUCAAACUCCUGACCUCAGGUGAUCCACCCACC